AGAGUUUGAUCCUGGCUCAGGAUGAACGCUAGCUACAGGCUUAACACAUGCAAGUCGAGGGGCAGCAUCAUCAAAGCUUGCUUUGAUGGAUGGCGACCGGCGCACGGGUGAGUAACACGUAUCCAACCUGCCGACAACACUGGGAUAGCCUUUCGAAAGAAAGAUUAAUACCGGAUGGUAUAGUUUUCCCGCAUGGGGGUGACUAUUAAAGAAUUUCGGUUGUCGAUGGGGAUGCGUUCCAUUAGGCAGUUGGCGGGGUAACGGCCCACCAAACCAACGAUGGAUAGGGGUUCUGAGAGGAAGGUCCCCCACAUUGGAACUGAGACACGGUCCAAACUCCUACGGGAGGCAGCAGUGAGGAAUAUUGGUCAAUGGACGAGAGUCUGAACCAGCCAAGUAGCGUGAAGGAUGACUGCCCUAUGGGUUGUAAACUUCUUUUAUACGGGAAUAAAGUUAGCCACGUGUGGCUUUUUGUAUGUACCGUAUGAAUAAGGAUCGGCUAACUCCGUGCCAGCAGCCGCGGUAAUACGGAGGAUCCGAGCGUUAUCCGGAUUUAUUGGGUUUAAAGGGAGCGUAGGCGGGUUGUUAAGUCAGUUGUGAAAGUUUGCGGCUCAACCGUAAAAUUGCAGUUGAUACUGGAUGUCUUGAGUGCAGUUGAGGCAGGCGGAAUUCGUGGUGUAGCGGUGAAAUGCUUAGAUAUCACGAAGAACUCCGAUUGCGAAGGCAGCCUGCUAAGCUGCAACUGACAUUGAGGCUCGAAAGUGUGGGUAUCAAACAGGAUUAGAUACCCUGGUAGUCCACACGGUAAACGAU
This 813-nucleotide ribosomal RNA is filed under the name uncultured bacterium. Its description in RNAcentral is "bacterial SSU rRNA". It matches the Rfam family "Bacterial small subunit ribosomal RNA", at positions 8 to 810 of the family's 1533-position model. The record is from RNAcentral.